AGGCGUCCUGUUAAGUCAGGCAACGAGCGAGACCCGCACUCUUAAUUGCCAGCAACACCUAGCGGUGGUUGGGUACAUUAGGAGGAUUGCCAGUGCCAAACCGGAGGAAGGAACGGGCAACGGUAGGUCAGUAUGCCCCGAAUGUGCUGGGCGACACGCGGGCUACAAUGGCCGAGACAGUGGGAUGCAACCCCGAAAGGGGGCGCUAAUCUCGGAAACUCGGUCGUAGUUCGGAUUGAGGGUUGAAACUCGCCCUCAUGAAGCUGGAUUCGGUAGUAAUCGCGCCUCAGAAGGGCGCGGUGAAUACGUCCUUGCUCCUUGCACACACCGCCCGUCAAAGCACCCGAGUGGGGUCCGGAUGAGGCCGGCGCAACGCCGGU
This 380-nucleotide ribosomal RNA is filed under the name Haloterrigena sp. GuM8. RNAcentral's name for it is "bacterial SSU rRNA". It matches the Rfam family "Archaeal small subunit ribosomal RNA", at positions 1019 to 1403 of the family's 1478-position model. The record is from RNAcentral. Lineage: Archaea; Methanobacteriati; Methanobacteriota; Halobacteria; Halobacteriales; Natrialbaceae.